RNAcentral lists this unclassified non-coding RNA (378 nucleotides) under uncultured Acidimicrobiia bacterium. RNAcentral's name for it is "contains 16S-23S intergenic spacer region". Lineage: Bacteria; Bacillati; Actinomycetota; Acidimicrobiia. The record is from RNAcentral.
UCCGAGUUGACCCCGGCAGUCUCCUGCGAGUCCCCGCCAUUACGCGCUGGCAACACAGGACAAGGGUUGCGCUCGUUGCGGGACUUAACCCAACAUCUCACGACACGAGCUGACGACAGCCAUGCACCACCUGUCACGGGCCCAAAAGGACACUGUGUUUCCACAGCUUUUCCCGUGAUGUCAAGCCCAGGUAAGGUUCUUCGGGUUGCAUCGAAUUAAGCCGCAUGCUCCGCCGCUUGUGCGGGGACCCGUCAAUUCCUUUGAGUUUUAGCCUUGCGGCCGUACUCCCCAGGCGGGAUACUUAAUGCGUUAGCUUCGGCACGGCAGUCGUUGGUAAGACCGCCACACCUAGUAUCCAAAGUUUACGGCGUGGACUAC